AGGGUUUGAUCAUGGCUCAGGAUGAACGCUAGCGGCAGGCUUAACACAUGCAAGUCGAGGGGUAACAGGGAUUGCUUGCAAUCCGCUGACGACCGGCGCACGGGUGCGUAACGCGCAUGCAACCUACCUUUUACAAGGGGAUAGCCCAGAGAAAUUUGGAAUAAUACCCUAUACGAUCAUCAAUUGGCAUCAAUUAAUGAAGAAAACUCCGGUGGUAAAAGAUGGGCAUGCGUCCUAUUAGUUAGUUGGUAAGGUAACGGCUUACCAAGACUUCGAUAGGUAGGGGUCCUGAGAGGGAGAUCCCCCACACUGGUACUGAGACACGGACCAGACUCCUACGGGAGGCAGCAGUGAGGAAUAUUGGACAAUGGAGGCAACUCUGAUCCAGCCAUGCCGCGUGCAGGAUGACGGCCCUACGGGUUGUAAACUGCUUUUAUACAGGAAGAACUAUAUCUACGUGUAGAUAUUUGACGGUACUGUACGAAUAAGGAUCGGCUAACUCCGUGCCAGCAGCCGCGGUAAUAC
This 525-nucleotide ribosomal RNA is filed under the name uncultured bacterium. RNAcentral's name for it is "bacterial SSU rRNA". It matches the Rfam family "Bacterial small subunit ribosomal RNA", at positions 8 to 526 of the family's 1533-position model. The record is from RNAcentral.